This 407-nucleotide ribosomal RNA is filed under the name uncultured bacterium. Its description in RNAcentral is "bacterial SSU rRNA". It matches the Rfam family "Bacterial small subunit ribosomal RNA", at positions 396 to 793 of the family's 1533-position model. The record is from RNAcentral.
CCGUCGUGUAUGAAGUAAGGCCUUCGGGUUGUAAAAGUACUUUCAGUCAGUGAGGAAGUGGGUAUGUUAAUAGCAUAUUCAUUUGACGUUUAGCUGCAGAAGAAGCACCGGCUAACUCCGUGCCAGCAGCCGCGGUAAUACGGAGGGUGCGAGCGUUAAUCGGAAUUACUGGGCGUAAAGCGCAUGCAGGUGGUUUGUUAAGUCAGAUGUGAAAGCCCGGGGCUCAACCUCGGAAUUGCAUUUGAAACUGGCAAACUAGAGUACUGUAGAGGGGGUAGAAUUUCAGGUGUAGCGGUGAAAUGCGUAGAGAUCUGAAGGAAUACCGGUGGCGAAGGCGGCCCCCUGGACAGAUACUGACACUCAGAUGCGAAAGCGUGGGGAGCAAACAGGAUUAGAUACCCUGGUAG